AAGGCUUUAGCUUAAAUAAAGUAUUUGGUUUGCAACCAGGAGAUGUAGAAUAAGUAUCUGCAAGUCUUA
RNAcentral lists this transfer RNA (69 nucleotides) under Megophrys omeimontis (Mount Omei spadefoot toad). Its description in RNAcentral is "Xenophrys omeimontis (Mount Omei spadefoot toad) tRNA-Ala". It matches the Rfam family "tRNA". Rfam says of the family: Transfer RNA (tRNA) molecules are approximately 80 nucleotides in length. Their secondary structure includes four short double-helical elements and three loops (D, anti-codon, and T loops). Further hydrogen bonds mediate the characteristic L-shaped molecular structure. tRNAs have two regions of fundamental functional importance: the anti-codon, which is responsible for specific mRNA codon recognition, and the 3' end, to which the tRNAs corresponding amino acid is attached (by aminoacyl-tRNA synthetases). tRNAs cope with the degeneracy of the genetic code in two manners: having more than one tRNA (with a specific anti-codon) for a particular amino acid; and 'wobble' base-pairing, i.e. permitting non-standard base-pairing at the 3rd anti-codon position. Lineage: Eukaryota; Metazoa; Chordata; Amphibia; Anura; Megophryidae. The record is from RNAcentral.